This 439-nucleotide ribosomal RNA is filed under the name uncultured bacterium. RNAcentral's name for it is "partial 16S ribosomal RNA". It matches the Rfam family "Bacterial small subunit ribosomal RNA", at positions 339 to 795 of the family's 1533-position model. The record is from RNAcentral.
CUACGGGUUGCAGCAGUGGGGAAUAUUGCACAAUGGGGGGAACCCUGAUGCAGCAACGCCGCGUGGAGGAUGACGCAUUUCGGUGUGUAAACUCCUUUUAUAUGUCAAGAAAAUGACGGUAGCAUAUGAAUAAGCACCGGCUAACUCCGUGCCAGCAGCCGCGGUAAUACGGAGGGUGCGAGCGUUACUCGGAAUCACUGGGCGUAAAGGACGCGUAGGCGGGUUGGAAAGUCAGGUGUGAAAUCCUACAGCUUAACUGUAGAACUGCACUUGAAACUUCUAAUCUAGAGUAUGGGAGGGGGAGAUGGAAUUAGUGGUGUAGGGGUAAAAUCCGUAGAUAUCACUAGGAAUACCUAAAGCGAAGGCGAUCUCCUGGAACAUUACUGACGCUAAGGCGUGAAAGCGUGGGGAGCAAACAGGAUUAGAUACCCCCGUAGUC